UACGGGGGGGGCAAGCGUUGUUCGGAAUUACUGGGCGUAAAGGGCUCGUAGGUGGCCAACUAAGUCAGACGUGAAAUCCCUCAGCUUAACUGGGGAACUGCGUCUGAUACUGGAUGGCUUGAGUUUGGGAGAGGGAUGCGGAAUUCCAGGUGUAGCGGUGAAAUGCGUAGAUAUCUGGAGGAACACCAGUAGCGAAGGCGGCACUCUGGGCCGGUACUGACGCUGAGGAGCGAAAGCGUGGGGAGCAAACAGG
Molecule: ribosomal RNA, 253 nt
Filed under: uncultured bacterium
Lineage: Bacteria
Description: partial 16S ribosomal RNA
Rfam family: Bacterial small subunit ribosomal RNA
Source: RNAcentral